This 279-nucleotide ribosomal RNA is filed under the name uncultured bacterium. RNAcentral's name for it is "partial 16S ribosomal RNA". It matches the Rfam family "Bacterial small subunit ribosomal RNA", at positions 506 to 784 of the family's 1533-position model. The record is from RNAcentral.
UGCCAGCCGCCGCGGUAAUACGAAGGGUGCAAGCGUUGUUCGGAUUUAUUGGGCGUAAAGCGGGUGCAGGUGGAUAAGAAAGUCAGAUGUGAAAUCUCGGGGCUCAACCCCGAAACUGCGUCUGAAACUCCUUGUCUAGAAUCUCAAAGAGGGAAGUGGAAUUUCGCAUGUAGGAGUAAAAUCCGUAGAGAUGCGAAGGAACACCAGAGGCGAAGGCGGCUUCCUGGCUAUUUUCUGACGCUGAGGAGCGAAAGCUAGGGGAGCAAACAGGAUUAGAUA